CACAGCACCCCUGUAAGGAAGAGAGCACUAUAGAAAAAUUGGACUUGAUGUCAAGUGAUUUUCACAGAGUUCACACGUCGGUGGUGUGCAGACCUGAAAUUUUUCAAGCUCUAUGGUGCUCCUUGAUGAUGAUGCUUCAGGAAAUGGAGAAAGUUUGAAUCUCCUGCAGCUUCAGUUCCAUCAUCCAUGCUUUGAUACCAGAAAUCCAAAGGACGUUGGGGAACAGAACUCCAUUUUCUGGGGAAUUCAAUUUAUGGACAUAUAGUAUGUGGAAUUUUUCUCAUGAAAACUAGAAUGUCCCCUAAGAUACCUAUUGUAUCCUGGGUAAGGCAGAAAAGAGAGUGGAAAAUAAUUCUGUGCUGUAAUAGAUACUAUGAAAAGAACUCAGAGAACAAUGUGUGGAAAACCCUUUGCUUCAAAUGUACAGCAAGGUGGCUGAAGUUAGCUAAGCUGGGUUUAGAGCUGAGAAAUUUGACUGGGUUUUAUCACCCAAAAGCAGUCUAUGUUCAAAGAGUUUAGUAAGAUCGUGUGUUAAACUGAAGUUUCUGAAAAUUGGAGUCAUUUUUGGAAAACAUCCCAGAGGUAGAAUAGGUCUUAAAGACACCUGGGCAAAUCCAAGUAGAUUUCAAAGUUGCUAAGGAGACUUGUGGGGAUAUAUCUGUAUCUUAUAUUUCUGGGGUUGUCUCCCAAUUAUUUGUGUGAGGGAGAUGCUGAGUUUUUGUGGGAUCUUCCAUUCUCCCUUGGGACUGUACUACAUCAUUAACUACCUCCUCACUGACACCUUCAAUUUUAUUCCCACUGAGUCAAUCCCCUCAGCCUGUAAACAUGCUUAGAUCUUUCCUAUAAUUAAACAAUUUCUAACUGU
Molecule: long non-coding RNA, 865 nt
Organism: Bubalus bubalis (water buffalo)
Lineage: Eukaryota; Metazoa; Chordata; Mammalia; Artiodactyla; Bovidae
Exons: 2
Source: RefSeq, a predicted model, not a curated record